This is a long non-coding RNA of Drosophila pseudoobscura, 756 nucleotides long. RefSeq lists it as uncharacterized. The transcript is spliced from 2 exons. Lineage: Eukaryota; Metazoa; Arthropoda; Insecta; Diptera; Drosophilidae. The record is from RefSeq and is a predicted model, not a curated record.
GUUAAAAGUGAAUUUCUCUAAGGCAUGCUUUUUUCACUCUUUCAGGAAGCAUCUACUGCAAAAAUUCAAAUCACGCCAAUCUGUUAAAGGGAAUUGCAAAACCGCCAGACAGGUGUUUGUUUAAAGAAAAGGUUUAGCUAUGUUUUUUUUGUUGCCUUGCUUUUCCUGUCAGCUAAUUUCCCUGACGUCUGUGUGGGGUCUCUGUCUCUGCCGUUGAAGGCUGCCAGCUGUCAUUGAUUCGCAUGGGGGGAUUGGGUAUUGCUCUUUGAAAGGGUAUAGGCACUGGUAGUUCUGGAAGUGGUCCUCCAUUGACAGCAUUGACUUGGAUUGGAUGCAAUUAUGUUGAGUGCAUGUUUAGCUUCUUUUUUUUUGUGUGGCAGGCAGGAUGGCUGCCGUGGCAGCAGCUGUUGUCGCACGACUUUCCUUAACUUCUUCGGCAGAGGGCACCACCACUCCUGCACCACUCCUGCACCACUCCGAGACCAACAAUCAAUUCGACAGCAGCGGCGACGACAUUUGCGCAGGCGCGCAGUCGCGCAGGCGCCUUUUGUUGCGCUUUAACUUCCGGAAAUCACGUUGUAAUGUUGGGAUUUUUCUUGGCUUUGGCUUUUGUUAAGGAAUGGAAUGGGUCAGAGGCAGAGCGAAAAGAAAUGUGCACGCGAGCAAAAUUACAAAAUGCUCAACAGUUAACAUAAAAUUUGUUUGCUUAAAGUUGUUAAAUUUUUUCAAUUAUGCAAAAAUAAAAUUUUAACACAA